RNAcentral lists this ribosomal RNA (468 nucleotides) under uncultured bacterium. RNAcentral's name for it is "partial 16S ribosomal RNA". It matches the Rfam family "Bacterial small subunit ribosomal RNA", at positions 28 to 507 of the family's 1533-position model. The record is from RNAcentral.
GACGAACGCUGGCGGCGUGCUUAACACAUGCAAGUCGAACGGAAAGGCCCUGCUUUUGUGGGGUGCUCGAGUGGCGAACGGGUGAGUAACAGGUGAGUAACCUGCUCUUGACUUUGGGAUGACUUCAGGAAACUGGGGCUAAUACCGUAUAGCAGCUCCUGUUGCAGGGUGGGGGUUGGAACGUCUCGGCGGUUGGGGAUGGAUUCGCGGCUAAUCAGCUUGUUGGUGGGGUAGUGGCUUACCAAGGCUUUGGCGGGUACCCGGCAUGAGAGGGUGACCGGCCACAUUGGGACUGAGGUACGGACCAGACUCCUACGGGAGGCAGCAGUGGGGAGUAUUGCACAAUGGGCGGGAGCCUGUGGCAGCAACGCCGCGUGCGGGAUGACGGCCUUCGGGUUGUAAACCGCUUUCGCCUGUGACGAAGCGUGAGUGACGGUAAUGGGUAAAGAAGCACCGGCUAACUACGUG